RNAcentral lists this ribosomal RNA (1372 nucleotides) under uncultured bacterium. Its description in RNAcentral is "bacterial SSU rRNA". It matches the Rfam family "Bacterial small subunit ribosomal RNA", at positions 28 to 1381 of the family's 1533-position model. The record is from RNAcentral.
GAUGAACGCUGGCGGCGUGCCUAAUACAUGCAAGUCGAGCGAACGGACGAGAAGCUUGCUUCUCUGAUGUUAGCGGCGGACGGGUGAGUAACACGUGGAUAACCUACCUAUAAGACUGGGAUAACUUCGGGAAACCGGAGCUAAUACCGGAUAAUAUUUUGAACCGCAUGGUUCAAAAGUGAAAGACGGUCUUGCUGUCACUUAUAGAUGGAUCCGCGCUGCAUUAGCUAGUUGGUAAGGUAACGGCUUACCAAGGCAACGAUGCAUAGCCGACCUGAGAGGGUGAUCGGCCACACUGGAACUGAGACACGGUCCAGACUCCUACGGGAGGCAGCAGUAGGGAAUCUUCCGCAAUGGGCGAAAGCCUGACGGAGCAACGCCGCGUGAGUGAUGAAGGUCUUCGGAUCGUAAAACUCUGUUAUUAGGGAAGAACAUAUGUGUAAGUAACUGUGCACAUCUUGACGGUACCUAAUCAGAAAGCCACGGCUAACUACGUGCCAGCAGCCGCGGUAAUACGUAGGUGGCAAGCGUUAUCCGGAAUUAUUGGGCGUAAAGCGCGCGUAGGCGGUUUUUUAAGUCUGAUGUGAAAGCCCACGGCUCAACCGUGGAGGGUCAUUGGAAACUGGAAAACUUGAGUGCAGAAGAGGAAAGUGGAAUUCCAUGUGUAGCGGUGAAAUGCGCAGAGAUAUGGAGGAACACCAGUGGCGAAGGCGACUUUCUGGUCUGUAACUGACGCUGAUGUGCGAAAGCGUGGGGAUCAAACAGGAUUAGAUACCCUGGUAGUCCGCGCCGUAAACGAUGAGUGCUAAGUGUUAGGGGGUUUCCGCCCCUUAGUGCUGCAGCUAACGCAUUAAGCACUCCGCCUGGGGAGUACGACCGCAAGGUUGAAACUCAAAGGAAUUGACGGGGACCCGCACAAGCGGUGGAGCAUGUGGUUUAAUUCGAAGCAACGCGAAGAACCUUACCAAAUCUUGACAUCCUUUGACAACUCUAGAGAUAGAGCUUUCCCCUUCGGGGGACAAAGUGACAGGUGGUGCAUGGUUGUCGUCAGCUCGUGUCGUGAGAUGUUGGGUUAAGUCCCGCAACGAGCGCAACCCUUAAGCUUAGUUGCCAUCAUUAAGUUGGGCACUCUAAGUUGACUGCCGGUGACAAACCGGAGGAAGGUGGGGAUGACGUCAAAUCAUCAUGCCCCUUAUGAUUUGGGCUACACACGUGCUACAAUGGACAAUACAAAGGGCAGCGAAACCGCGAGGUCAAGCAAAUCCCAUAAAGUUGUUCUCAGUUCGGAUUGUAGUCUGCAACUCGACUACAUGAAGCUGGAAUCGCUAGUAAUCGUAGAUCAGCAUGCUACGGUGAAUACGUUCCCGGGUCU